GCUGUCAGCUGGAAAGCAGAUGGAAGCUCACUUCAGUCCACCCGUUUUGCUUCACCAUGUGUUGUUUUGUUGUUUAUUUUUUUUCUAUUUCAUCUCUCUGUUGUUUUCAAGAAGUGAUUUCUCUGCGUUGGUAUUUGAAAUGAUGUGAAAGUCUCUGUGUGGGAAGCUGCGUGUCAGAGUGACCCAGGGAACUUGCCCAGUUUUCUGGGCAGUGAUGGAGAGGCCAUCUGGAGGUAGUUUGAGCCAGGCUGUGACCAGCCCUUCCUCCAUAUAAGGAAAUCUUUGCAGGAGGUAGAGCCAACCAGAAAAUGCUACCUCCUGCAGAGGAGAUGGGUAGGGAAGUGGGGUGAGGGAAGUUGUGGAGUAUCAACACUGGUAUGGAAAGUGUGCAUUAAAGUAAUAUAAACAGUAAUAUAAAUACAAGCUGGGAAUCAAUACAACUGCCAGUGUUGCCAGUUAAGUGGUUCUGCAGAAGAGGAGGAUGGGAGUGGUGUCAAAGGGGCACAGGCUUGGGGGAGCGGCAGUGCUAGAGCAGGGUGCUCUGAGGGGUGGAGGAAAGGUUGGCCAUACCACAGUCAUUCUUCACUCCCUAGUGUAUAGGUGGCAAGCAAGCUCUAUCUGUACACAACUGGAAGAACUGGCAGCUUAAUAACACAGAAGUAACCAUUUAUGUCUCCUCUUUGUCUUCCUGUUCGGCUUUUGACAACACAGUUUAAGGCAGCAAGAUAGACAGGGCAAGGUGCAAGCUAUGGGAGGAGACUGAGCAUACCUUGCCAAGUUGCAUGGUAAAGGAUAUCAGGUGUCUCCUGGGAAAAAUCACUUUCUAGAGAAUAUGCAGUACUUUUUUUAGGUGAGUUAGCUUGUGAUUUGAAUGUAAACUUCUCCAUUGCUUAUAUUCAGAGUGAAAAAAAUUACAGUUUACAUCAAAAAGCUUCUGUUCAUAAGUAACUUCUGUUUCAGAAAAAUUUAGGAAACAAAGCUACAGAACAUAGAAAUGAAAUUUAAAUAAAAUACAUUUUUUAAAAAACUGACUAACUUGGCUUUUGCUUUGUAACUAAUGUGAAUGUUGGCAUAAUUCUACUUCUCAGAGAACUGCUGAAGUCAUUUAUGUGCC
Molecule: long non-coding RNA, 1114 nt
Filed under: Gallus gallus (chicken)
Lineage: Eukaryota; Metazoa; Chordata; Aves; Galliformes; Phasianidae
Description: lncRNA (ENSGALG00010021334.1)
Source: RNAcentral